GUGUUGGGGACCGGCGACCUCGCUGACGCCCUUCUUGGGCCCAGCGUCCGCCGCCCCCGAAAUGAAUUGGCGGUCUCGUCGCGGCCUCCUCUGCGUAGUAGCACAACCUCGCAACAGGAGCGCGACGCGGCCACUGCCGUAAAACGCCCAACUUUUUUAGAGUUGACCUCGGAUCAGGUAGGAAUACCCGCUGAACUUAA
RNAcentral lists this unclassified non-coding RNA (200 nucleotides) under Hypocreales sp. RNAcentral's name for it is "partial contains internal transcribed spacer 2 and large subunit ribosomal RNA". RNAcentral also lists the same sequence under 1 other name. Lineage: Eukaryota; Fungi; Ascomycota; Sordariomycetes; Hypocreales. The record is from RNAcentral.